Sander lucioperca (pikeperch) is the source of this 653-nucleotide long non-coding RNA. RefSeq lists it as uncharacterized. Lineage: Eukaryota; Metazoa; Chordata; Actinopteri; Perciformes; Percidae. The record is from RefSeq and is a predicted model, not a curated record. The transcript is spliced from 3 exons.
CCUGUUUGUGUCCAUUCACCCCUUUGUCACUAGUCGCUUUGUUACUUUCUUUGUCUGUUUGCUGCGUUUGUGUUUCUGUCGUCUGUAUAUUUAACUGUGAACUAUUUCAACAGUAUGUCCCUAAAAUCAUGGCAACUUGGUAUCUGGAUGGAUCUCUGGCCAUUUUAGAGAACUCCACUACCAGCUCUCUGAACCUGGGACGACUGGACGGGUCGAUCAUCCAACCUAAAGAGAGAGAGACAGAGAUUUCCUCAACUGGACUCUUAGACGUCGAUGGUGCAGAUGGGCGGCUGCGGCAGCCGGUCUCCUCGCUCCAGCACGGCGGCGAUGUCGCUGGCCGGGAUGCCGUCGUACGGCUUGGAGCCGAACGUCAUCAGCUCCCACACAGUCACACCUGCAGGACACACAACAAACAGGAUAUAAAGGUGUUUAAAUGUUUUAGGGAAACGGUAUUUAACCAUUCAGACACACAAAGGGAUGUUGUUGUGAUAUACUGUAACUCUCCUGUUGUCCUCGGGUCAAAUUUGACCCAGUUUUCAAAAAGUUUCUAUAUAUCAGAAAUUUGGGUUUCUUUCAACCAAAUUGUCAAAAUAAAUAACGACGAUGGUUCCAUACGAUGCUCUUAACAAGUAGAAUAAAUGAUCAGUUCACUA